RNAcentral lists this ribosomal RNA (206 nucleotides) under uncultured bacterium. RNAcentral's name for it is "partial 16S ribosomal RNA". It matches the Rfam family "Bacterial small subunit ribosomal RNA", at positions 568 to 774 of the family's 1533-position model. The record is from RNAcentral.
CUCGUAGGUGGUUCGUCACGCGGAUGUGAAACUCUGGGGCUUAACCCCAGACCUGCAUUCGAUACGGGCGAGCUUGAGUAUGGUAGGGGAGUCUGGAAUUCCUGGUGUAGCGGUGGAAUGCGCAGAUAUCAGGAGGAACACCAAUGGCGAAGGCAGGACUCUGGGCCAUUACUGACACUGAGGAGCGAAAGCGUGGGGAGCGAACA